This 450-nucleotide ribosomal RNA is filed under the name uncultured bacterium. Its description in RNAcentral is "partial 16S ribosomal RNA". It matches the Rfam family "Bacterial small subunit ribosomal RNA", at positions 354 to 796 of the family's 1533-position model. The record is from RNAcentral.
GUGGGGAAUAUUGGACAAUGGGCGAAAGCCUGAUCCAGCCAUGCCGCGUGUGUGAAGAAGGUCUUCGGAUUGUAAAGCACUUUAAGUUGGGAGGAAGGACAGUAAGUUAAUACCUUGCUGUUUUGACGUUACCGACAGAAUAAGCACCGGCUAACUUCGUGCCAGCAGCCGCGGUAAUACGAAGGGUGCAAGCGUUAAUCGGAAUUACUGGGCGUAAAGCGCGCGUAGGUGGUUCAGCAAUGUGGAGGUGAAAUCCCCUGGCUCAACCUGGGAACUGCCACCAAAACUACUAAGCUAGAGUACGGUAGAGGGUAGUGGAAUUUCCUGUGUAGCGGUGAAAUGCGUCGAUAUAGGGAGGAACACCAGUGGCGAAGGCGACUACCUGGACUGAUACUGACACUGAGGUGCGAGAGCGUGGGGAGCAAACAGGAUUAGAAACCCCGGUAGUCC